GCUUGUCUCAAAGAUUAAGCCAUGCAUGUCUAAGUAUAAGCAACUUGUACUGUGAAACUGCGAAUGGCUCAUUAAAUCAGUUAUCGUUUAUUUGAUAGUACCUUACUACAUGGAUACCUGUGGUAAUUCUAGAGCUAAUACAUGCUAAAAACCCCGACUUCAGGAAGGGGUGUAUUUAUUAGAUAAAAAACCAACGCCCUUCGGGGCUCCUUGGUGAAUCAUAAUAACUUUGGGCUGAUCGUAUGGCCUUGUGCCGACGACGUUUCCUUCGAAGGUGUGCCCUAUCAACUGUCGACUGUGAUAUAGACGCUCACAGUGGUUUUGACGGGUAACGGGGAAUCAGGGUUCGAUUCCGGAGAGGGAGCCUUAAAAACGGCUACCACAUCCAAGGAAGGCAGCAGG
This 402-nucleotide ribosomal RNA is filed under the name uncultured Telonemia. Its description in RNAcentral is "partial small subunit ribosomal RNA". It matches the Rfam family "Eukaryotic small subunit ribosomal RNA", at positions 30 to 432 of the family's 1831-position model. The record is from RNAcentral. Lineage: Eukaryota; Telonemia.